AGCGAACGCUGGCGGCAGGCCUAACACAUGCAAGUCGAACGAACUCUUCGGAGUUAGUGGCGGACGGGUGAGUAACACGUGGGAACGUGCCUUUUGGUUCGGAAUAACUCAGGGAAACUUGUGCUAAUACCGCAUGUGCCCUUCGGGGGUAAGAUUUAUCGCCAUUAGGUCGGCCCGCGUCUGAUUAGCUAGUUGGUGAGGUAACGGCUCACCAAGGCGACGAUCAGUAGCUGGUCUGAUAGGAUGACCAGCCACACUGGGACUGAGACACGGCCCAGACUCCUACGGGAGGCAGCAGUGGGGAAUCUUGCGCAAUGGGCGAAAGCGUGACGCAGCCAUGCCGCGUGAAUGAUGAAGGUCUUAGGAUUGUAAAAUUCUUUCACCGGGGACGAUAAUGACGGUACCCGGAGAAGAAGCCCCGGCUAACUUCGUG
This 433-nucleotide ribosomal RNA is filed under the name uncultured bacterium. Its description in RNAcentral is "partial 16S ribosomal RNA". It matches the Rfam family "Bacterial small subunit ribosomal RNA", at positions 29 to 507 of the family's 1533-position model. The record is from RNAcentral.